UUGGAAGGGCGGAGAAUCGCUCCCGGGCUUGUCUCGGGGGAGGAAAGUCCGAACUCCAUAGGGCGCGAUGCCGCGUAACCGUUCGCUUCGGCGGGCGGAUACACGCGGGCAGUUUGGCCGCGAGGCCGGCUGACGGACAGUGCCACAGAGAACAUACCGCCAACCGGCGCGAGCCGGCGGUAAGGGUGAAAAGGUGGGGUAAGAGCCCACCGCGCUGAGCGCAAGCGAGGCGGCACGGAAAACCCCAUCGGGUGCAAGGCCAAAUAGGAAACCUCGGGGCUGCCCGCCCCACGUCCGGCGAAAGCGGGACGGGUUUCGGGUAUUGGCCGCUCAGACAAAUGAUUCUCUCCCCGCGCAAGCGGGCAGACAGAAAUCGGCUUACAGCCCUUCCAAAACC
This 397-nucleotide RNase P RNA is filed under the name Pedosphaera sp. Its description in RNAcentral is "RNase P RNA component class A". It matches the Rfam family "Bacterial RNase P class A". From Rfam's summary of the family: Ribonuclease P (RNase P) is a ubiquitous endoribonuclease, found in archaea, bacteria and eukarya as well as chloroplasts and mitochondria. Its best characterised activity is the generation of mature 5'-ends of tRNAs by cleaving the 5'-leader elements of precursor-tRNAs. Cellular RNase Ps are ribonucleoproteins. Lineage: Bacteria; Pseudomonadati; Verrucomicrobiota; Pedosphaerae; Pedosphaerales; Pedosphaeraceae. The record is from RNAcentral.